This 355-nucleotide ribosomal RNA is filed under the name uncultured bacterium. RNAcentral's name for it is "partial 16S ribosomal RNA". It matches the Rfam family "Bacterial small subunit ribosomal RNA", at positions 527 to 881 of the family's 1533-position model. The record is from RNAcentral.
GNAUGGUGCAAGCGNNAUCCGGACNUACUGGGUGUAAAGGGAGCGUAGACGGCNGUGUAAGNCUGAAGUGAAAGCCCGGGGCUCAACCCCGGGACUGCNUUGGAAACNANGCAGCNAGAGUGUCGGAGAGGNAAGNGGAAUCCCUAGUGUAGCGGUGAAAUGCGUAGAUAUUAGGAGGAACACCAGUGGCGAAGGCGGCUUUCUGGACGAUGACUGACGUUGAGGCUCGAAAGCGUGGGGAGCAAACAGGAUUAGAUACCCUGGUAGUCCACGCCGUAAACGAUGAUUACUAGGUGUUGGAGGAUUGACCCCUUCAGUGCCGCAGUUAACACAAUAAGUAAUCCACCUGGGGAGU